ACUCACGCUGGCGGCGUGCUUAACACCUGCAAGUCGAACGGAAAGGCCCUGCUUUUGUGGGGUGCUCGAGUGGCGAACGGGUGAGUAACACGUGAGUAACCUGCCCUUGACUUUUGGAUAACUUCAGGAAACUGGGGCUAAUACCGGAUAGGAGCUCCUGCUGCAUGGUGGGGGUUGGAAAGUUUCGGCGGUUGGGGAUGGACUCGCGGCUUAUCAGCUUGUUGGUGGGGUAGUGGCUUACCAAGGCUUUGACGGGUAGCCGGCCUGAGAGGGUGACCGGCCACAUUGGGACUGAGAUACGGCCCAGACUCCUACGGGAGGCAGCAGUGGGGAAUAUUGCACAAUGGGCGGAAGCCUGAUGCAGCAACGCCGCGUGCGGGAUGACGGCCUUCGGGUUGUAAACCGCUUUCGCCUGUGACGAAGCGUGAGUGACGGUAAUGGGUAAAGAAGCACCGGCUAACUACGUG
Molecule: ribosomal RNA, 467 nt
Filed under: uncultured bacterium
Lineage: Bacteria
Description: partial 16S ribosomal RNA
Rfam family: Bacterial small subunit ribosomal RNA
Source: RNAcentral